AGUGAACGCUGGCGGUAGGCCUAACACAUGCAAGUCGAACGGCAGCACAGUAAGAGCUUGCUCUUACGGGUGGCGAGUGGCGGACGGGUGAGGAAUACAUCGGAAUCUACUUUUUCGUGGGGGAUAACGUAGGGAAACUUACGCUAAUACCGCAUACGACCUACGGGUGAAAGCAGGGGAUCUUCGGACCUUGCGCGAUUGAAUGAGCCGAUGUCGGAUUAGCUAGUUGGCGGGGUAAAGGCCCACCAAGGCGACGAUCCGUAGCUGGUCUGAGAGGAUGAGCGACAACACGGGACGUAGAACAGGGUCAGGCCCCCGGCGGGAGGCAGAAGAGGGAAUUGUGGGGAAAGGGGGGCAAGCCGGAUCCAACAAUACGGCGUGGGGGGAAAAGACUUAGGGGUUGAAAAGCCUUUUUGUGGGAAAAAAAAAGAAGCAGUUUAAGACCCCGUUGUUCUGAAGGAACCAAAAAAAGAAGCCCCGGCUAACUUCGUG
RNAcentral lists this ribosomal RNA (492 nucleotides) under uncultured bacterium. RNAcentral describes it as "partial 16S ribosomal RNA". It matches the Rfam family "Bacterial small subunit ribosomal RNA", at positions 29 to 507 of the family's 1533-position model. The record is from RNAcentral.